This is a long non-coding RNA of Bubalus bubalis (water buffalo), 385 nucleotides long. RefSeq lists it as uncharacterized. The transcript is spliced from 2 exons. The record is from RefSeq and is a predicted model, not a curated record. Lineage: Eukaryota; Metazoa; Chordata; Mammalia; Artiodactyla; Bovidae.
CUGGAAAAACCGUAGCUUUGACUAUAUGGACCUUUGUCAGCAAAGCAGCAUCUCUGCUUUUUAAAAUGCUGUCUAAGUUGAUCAUAGCUUUUCUUCCAAGGAGCAACCCUCUUUUAAUUUCAUAUCCACAUAGGGAAGUUCAAACAUUCAAAUGGAUCAACUAAACAAUAUUGACUGAGUGUCUACGAUGUGCCCAGUAUUAUGCCAGGUACUAAAGGAGUUACUAAAGAGGUGACGGCAGGACAACCACAGGAUCAGGAUGCUUCGUCUGCUUUUAUUCUCAGGAAGGAGGGAGAGCAGCCAGUCCUGUUCUCUGGAGGCUAACUUUCUGUGCAGUGUUCACUGACGCUUUUAUUAAUGACAUUUAAAUAAAUGGUAGAGGCCA